UAAUGAGUGCCAUUCUAAUAAGUUUGUAUUUUUUCCACUGAUGGCAAUCAGAAGUUAGUACUUCAUAGAAGAUAAGGAUACAUUUACAAAAUUAAUACAGAAUUGAAACUUUUCUUGAAUGAAUUAUGGUGAAAAACUUGUUAAAAUAGGUAAAGUUUGGUACCCUCACAUUACACUUAUAUUUUUUAUAACGUACCUCUGAAAUUGUUUCAUUGGGCAUUGCUUCAUGAUUGUGGUACUUAACAAAUUUUGUACUUUAUUUUUAUUUUUGUUUUGUUUUAAAUGCUGUCAUUACUAAAACAUGUUUUAAAAAUGUUAAAUUUUAGUACAUUUGUACUAACUAAUUCAUGUACAUUUAAUGAGGGUAGAUUUUAAGGUUAAUGGACAAACAUCUACUUGCCAGUAGUAUGCAGUUUUAGUGUAAUAUAUGUUUAUGUAUUUUAUAUCCUCUAAUUUAUCUGUAGUCAUUCCUCG
Molecule: long non-coding RNA, 474 nt
Filed under: Mytilus galloprovincialis (Mediterranean mussel)
Lineage: Eukaryota; Metazoa; Mollusca; Bivalvia; Mytilida; Mytilidae
Source: RNAcentral